RNAcentral lists this long non-coding RNA (11585 nucleotides) under Trifolium pratense (red clover). RNAcentral describes it as "long non-coding RNA (TPRA_LNC001611)". Lineage: Eukaryota; Viridiplantae; Streptophyta; Magnoliopsida; Fabales; Fabaceae. The record is from RNAcentral.
UUACUUUUUCAUUGACACUCUCCAACAGCCGCUUAACCCCAGCUAAGAGGGUAAUAAUACUCUCAUUGGAUAUCAAUACUCCCUUGGGGUCACCAGUAGUUCCACUAGUAUACAUUAUUGUACAGAUAUCACUUCUUUGCUUUGUAGGUAGAUCGAAACUCUGACUUUCACCCUGUGACGAUUAUUAAAAAUCAAAUUAGGAAUGGCAACCACAAACUGUCCGUAGAGAAGUAACAAAAAUUUUCUGCUAGACAAACUUUUAAUGAGAUUUAGAAAAGUAACUUCAACUAACUUAUAAUGAAUACGUAUCUAUAAAAAAUUGAAACAAGUCAACUAACUUAUAAUGAUAAGUUUCAAAUAUCAUGAUAUCAUCAUUAGUUUUAUUAUUUUAAAUACGUAACAAAUAUGUUAACUUUUUUCUUUCCACACACUCCAGUUCCACUAUUACUUAGAGAAGAGUAACUGCCAGUGGUCCUAGAUAGUGAUACAAGUCAUAUAAUUAUUUUUGCUGCAAAGGAGACUCGGAGCACUUGUAGUUAAUGGCAAUUAUAUACAGAAGGAGUAGCUUUCAUGUCAAAAUUAUUGACAAGUAAUAAUAAAUGAAAUGAAUAGCCCACCAAUUGUAAAAAUUCAGUCCAUGAAUAUAUUGCCAAUCCAAACUUUCCAACUUCUUGCUUUUGUUCAGGGGUAACCUUUCCGAAGCUCACAAUGGCUGUAUAAAGACAUAAAAGUCAGUCACUGCUUCUUUCAAAAGCACAUGUAAUGUAGCGAAGAAAGAAGAUAAUUAAAAAUACUUACUCAUGAGAUAUUUGGUUGCAUUUGGAAAUGUCUUCAACAGCUGAAAUGUUUUUUUUUUAAAAAAAAAAGGAUAAGACAAUAUUCACAGAAAAGUGUACCUAACUCUCUAAUCCUUUAAAUUACUGUGAAAUAGAUUAUUUCAAUAGGAUGAACCUCGGGUAUCUUCUUUUCUUCUGCAAAUGCAAUUGAGACCUCUGCAUGGGAUAUAAUAAAUUCUAUGGCCCUAGAACCUAAUUCAUAUAUGUAUGAAAGUGUCAAAGCCAUUGGUAUUUGGAAAUUCAAAAUUAGAAAACUGAAUUUGAAUGAGUAUUAGGACGGCAUGUAUUUCCGGUGAAAUGAAAAAAUAACCUAACAAAACUCUUGUGAUUAUCAAUAUCUACAUAAUGGGACAUUCUACCAGUAUUGUCCAAAUUUGAAUUUUCUACAACGAAGUAAAUUACAAACAAGUUAUCAUUGCUGUGAGAAAGUUUAUCACAAUUUUAGGCAACUAUAGCAAGUUUCGGCGAACGUUUAGUAAUUUUAAGUAGGUAGAUUUUCAAAGAAUGGAUAAAUGAACUCACUUUUUUGUUUAUAAAAUCACAAGGAUAAAAACAUGUAUACCAGAUGGACAUUAAAGUUCUUAAUAAAGUGUGAAUUAAGAACUUACAUUUUUUUUUUAAUCAAAUAUAUGAAACUUUGUUCAUAAAACAUGUAAGUUUUUUCUAAGUGCCUAAAUUAGUGAACUUUAGUGAAAGUUAGCAAAAAAAUGCCAUAUUGACAGAAACAUUGCAACUUUUCACAAAACAUUAAAGGGAAAAUCUCAUGUACAAUAUAUUUGGAAACCAAAUUCCAACUGCAGUUGAGUAAAAAUACCAAUUCUAAGUAGAAACAUGCUAAAUGUAUGCACACACCUAAGGUGUCAUAUAAAGGAACACAAAGAAGUCCAUGAGCAUUGCAAGCCUGCAAGAGUAAUGGGUCAAUCAGGCAGCAAGAGUCAGCUUGAAGAACAAAACAGGGCGUUGGAAUUGGGAAAAUUUUAAAAGACAGCCAAGAGGAAAGGAAUUUAAAAAAUAAAUGUACCUCCAUGCUCAUAAUCCACUCUGCAGAAUUGGCACCAUAAAUACCACAUUUUACACCCUGCAAACCAGAAAUUAAUAUGAAUUAAGCUCAAAAAAACAAAUCACUAGAAAUAAUAAUUACCUGCACAAGUGAAAUGCCAAAAUCACACAAGACAAAUGUUACAGGCUUAGGUUCAACAGGAAAAACUGUGACAAAGAGUCAAGCAAUUGAACCUGCAUGGCCUGUUCUUGGUAAGUGAAAAACUAUUGAACUACUCAUGCCGCAGAUAGUGACAUUAUCAAUAAUAUAUUAUCAAAGAAAUUAAAUAAGAGGUAUCUGAAUUUGGAAUUUGCAUGAAACCAUCCACAUUGCCAUUGGCCCAUUGCACAUCAAUGCUGAUUGUAAAUAAUGAACAACCCAACAGAUACAGAGAAUCCAAGAAUUGGAAUAUUGUACAAAGAGCAAAAUGCUAUUAAAAUAACCAAAAACAAAACAAAAUUACAUUUUUCGGUAAUCAAGAGACAGAAGACUUACUUCUCCAUAACCACAGCUGCGGAUGGAAUUUCCGACUUUGAUCACUAUGUCAUAUACUUCUUUGUAAGUUUGCCACUUGUACUUGCCAUGCUGUUAAGUAUCAAAAUGAAACGUGCAUUUAAAUAAACAAAAAGCCAUGGGUGGUCCCGCAAUGGCAAGAAAUUUUCCAGAAAACAAAAGAUUUAUAUAGUAACAGAGAAUUUACCUUCCCAUCUACAAUCUCUCGGGUACCAAGCAUAGGAUUAUUUGGAUACUUCUCAACAGACAAUCUGUAAAACUACUAUAUCAUUAGAAUUGAGAUGACUAAUAUGGUAUUAUCUUAGAUUCUUAUCGUUAAAAGCCCCAAUUUCUGUUAGUGAUGUAAAAGAGAAUGAAAACUCUAGAAACCGAACAACAAACUCUGAUUUAGUACUAAACAAAAAAUAAAUUAAAACAUAUGAUUGAGAUCAGAGAGCUUUUUUUUGCAUUUUAGCAUAAUAAUUCAACAAAAAAUAAAAUAAAAUAAAAUAGAAAAUAAGAAAUAAAUGCAGCCGAUCUAGUACUAAGUACAGAGAUACCAACAAUGAAUGGUGAUUAUUUCAAGAAAAAGAAGGUUCAACUAAAGUCGUCACUAAUUCAGUAUCAAAUCUACACUACAUGAAAUAAAUUGAGAAAGAAAAUAGUAUAUUCCUAUCUAUGCAUUGAAAUUAAAGCGAAGAGAUAACCUAACCGGAAAACAUCCCAGCAACUAUCAAGACCUUGAAUAGGAGCAGGAAAUCCAUCUUUAGCGAAGAUGCUACGAUAAGCAGGUCCUCUGGAAGGUCUAUCUUCAGUUGCUUCCUUUGCUUUUUCGACUUCAAUGAUGAAUCUCUUCUGCGCCAUGGCUCUGUCUGUGUUGUAACUGUUCCGAUUGAAGAAGUUAUUAAGGAAAUGAGAAAGUAGCUGAGGAAUUCAGAAUUUGAUAUUGUAACACAUUUUUUACACAAAGUUGACACAACUGUAUACUACUGUUCCUUAAUACCUUUAUUUUCAUUUUUUUUCCUUUCCCUCUCAAUUUCCUCUUUCUUGACACGACAACACACUCUUUCCCUCUUUCAAUCCAAUUUUUGACAGAUUCAUUACCACCAAACCUCAUCUUUCUCUCACUAGCAAACCUCUUCUCCCUCCACCACCAUUCAGCUUCAACUCCGAUUUGCACCAACAAUUUUUCAUUUCCAAUCUACGAAGAUUCAGCGUUCUACUUCUCGACCACUCAUUGUUGUUGUGUUGCAACUGUACUUAGUUAACUGACUUAAUUUCCUCAAAUAUAUAGUUAAUUAGUCAGUUUCUGUCAAAACUUCAAAAUUUCACCCAAAUUUGCAAUAAAAUAUAAUGAAUGUGCGUCUUGUACUAAUCUGAGGUGAAAAAAUAAUCACAAUUGAUAAUUUUAGCAUUGUUUUGGAGGGAAAAUAAAGUAAGAAUACAAUCAACUAACCAAUUUAAUACAAUCAAAGUCAUAAAAAAAUCCCAAAUCUAAAACCUAAUAAGAGAGAUUUAAAACUGAAAAUGUAGUAGAUUACAUCGAUUACCCGUUGUUGUUGUUAGGUUAAAUGUUGGAGCCUGAAGUAUGAGGUGUUGGAGACUGUGCAGCGGUGGACGGAGGAGUGUGGUGGUCAUGCAAUUGAGAGAUUCCGCAGAAGCUGGUCGUCUUUCAGACUCCAAUCGCAGCUGUUCGCGGUUGCCAUUGUGGCCGACGGACCACGGUGGUUCGAUACCAACUCGCCAAAGAUUGGGCGCGAAAGAGGAUUCCGCGGCAAGCUAAGCGUUUGAAGAAAAAUAUAAUUUCUCUUACACCCGUAAUUCUUUUCUACCCUGAAUUUUCGUUUUUGCACUUGUAUAAAAAAUUCGGUUUCUUAACCGAAAUUUUUUUGCGUUGAAAAAAAAACAUUCGGUUUUUGCAAACCGAAUUUUUCUGCAAGGACAAAAUUGGAAUAUCGGGGUAGAAAAAAAUCACGUGGUCGGAAGAGAAAUUGUUAGAAUAGAAAAUAUAAUAAUAUUAUUUNNNNNNNNNNNNNNNNNNNNNNGAAAAUAUCUCGAUUUGGUUUGUUUAUUAUAAUAUUAUAAUAUUAUUUGGUUUGUUUAUUCUUAGCCCUAUAAUAAAGGGAUUUAGUUUAGAUUUAAAUUUAUUCACUUGGUUAUAAAUAUCAAGGUAGUAUCAUACUAUUUGUUAAUGUAAAUAAUGUAAAUAUUGUAAUUAGGGUUAUUGCCAUCAUCAUCAAUAAUAUUUUAUUGUUCCUUAUUAUUUUCUCCUANNNNNNNNNNNNNNNNNNNNNNNNNNNNNNNNNNNNNNNNNNNNNNNNNAUUCCGCUGCAAGCUAAGCGUUUGAAGAAAAAUAUAAUUUCUCUUACACCCGUAAUUCUUUUCUACCCUGAAUUUCCGUUUUUGCACUUGUAUAAAAAAUUCGGUUUCUUAACCGAAAUUUUUUUGCGUUGAAAAAAAAAACAUUCGGUUUUUGCAAACCGAAUUUUUCUGCAAGGACAAAAUUGGAAUAUCGGGGUAGAAAAAAAUCACGUGGUCGGAAGAGAAAUUAUCGAAGAAAAACUCACAAUGCAGAGAGAAAGUGCAACCAUUGUGACGAAACUGCCCCUAUGUAAAAAAUUGAAGUGACGAAACCACCCUAUGUAUGCAUAAACGGUGUCAAAUACAUGUGUGUCAAGUAUAUGUGUAAAAUUGUGUUCCAGUAACAUUUCUAAAUUAUUCAUAGUACAUUUCUAGAAAUGGAGGGAGUAUAUUUUGCUCUAUCAAGUAAAACAUGAUGAGUGGCUAAAACCAUAAUGGGACCAUGUGCCUGUGAGUGGCAAAUGCAAUUAUUUGAAACGUGCCUAAGAUAAUGGGGGAUGAGUGAGCCAGAGGGAGCAUAUGGAGAUAUUUAGAUUCGGAUUCGGAUUCUCUGACAUUAGUUAUUUCAAAUUAUGUAGGAUUCAAAAUUACCAUGUUGAGUGUUGAGUUUGGAAUGUGUUUGGUAUAUAACUACGCGUAGCAAUACGAGAAGAAAAUUAACUUCCUUAUUGAUCAUGUUCUGGUUACAUACAAGCCAAGUGUUAAUGAAGUGACUACUUUAACUAAACCGUACUGCUAAUAUGAUAAUUGGAGUUGUAAGGUGCAAAAAGUGUUUACAAGUUAAGUGGCGAAUUAUGAUCACAUCACUAAUGACGCGUUUGCAAAUUAUGUCAACGACCCUUUAUGAUUUGAAGCUGGAAGAUAAGGAUAAUUUGGAAGGUGAUUAUCCAUUGGAAGAGAUUUACUUAGGUACUCCUGAUAAUAAGAGCCUAAUUUAUGUCACCUCAAUUUUGCCAAGGAAAUUCAAUGGUCAAAUUGGUCACACAUUAUAAAGAAUGUUUUGAUUGGGACUACUGUGAAAUGUCACGCCUAAGCAGAUAAUUAGUUGAACAUGGGCUUAGUUGAACACAAGUUGCCUUUGAAAGAGAUUUAAGCAUGUGAAACAAUGGAUCAAGAUUGUAUGACUUUUGAGCGGGAAAGGUGCCUUUGACUCAAUCUCACCCGUCGGAUGCAUCUCACGCUCCAGAUCAUGCCACGUGUCAGUUUAUUUUGAAAAAAGAAAAAACAAAACAUCAUAUUCAGAGAGUUCAAACCCAGAUAUAUUUGCCUUGUAACCCAUCGUCAACCAGCACGCCAACGUGUUACUGCAUCUCCUUCGUCCCGCGUGUUGCUGUCAAGCCGUACUACGUUUCCUCUGUUGAAGAUCCAGUUUUCAUUUGUUGGUGGUCGGUACAACCGUGCAAGGCUGCAUCUGGGCGAUGUUAGCUGUCGAAGGAGAGGUGGGUACCGUGGGUUACUUGGAGGUGGUGGGCUUCGCCAUAUAUGAAGGUUGAAGAGGUUCACCAUGGAAGCAUAAGAAGUGAAGAAGAAGCUGUGGGUGGUGUUUAUUUUUGUGGCAUAAUCUGGAGCAUGAGAUGCAUCCGGCGAGUGAAAUUGAGCCAAAGGCACCCUGCCUUUUCCCAUUCAAAAGUCAUGUAAUCCUAAUCCUUGAAACAAUCCUACUGAGGCUUUACUGCUGAAGUGCGUUAUCAAAGAUCAAAGAGUAAAAAUAGGGAGGCUAUUGAAAGUAAUAUUCAGAUAAUCUACAGCUUCUUUGUUGUUGAGAAUCAUUUAUAGCAUUAAAAACUACAAAAUCUCCUAUACAAGUAAUGUUUAACGAAACGUAGAAUAAAACUGUAAGCAUAAUUCAAAAUAUAUGAAUGGGAGGAUUCAGAACUGCUUCUCAUUCGUAAUCUUUCAAGUUUCAAGAGAGUUGCUAUUCAGUUCAAAAUAAUUAAUUAAUACGAAAAAAGUAACAGUCUAACAAAUGAACUAGAAACAUUAAAUGAAACAAUUAGAGUUUAUUGUAUAAAUCUUUGAAAACAUCUCUAGGUAAAAUACAAGAUCUACACCAUGGUGUCAUUCGAUAAGGGAUGGAAUAGUAUUUUGUUGUCACAGGUCGAGCCAACAAUUUGUUUAAACUUUGUAUUAUCAUAUCUUCAACGGUUGAAUGUGGCAUAUAAUCUACCAUCUCUCCAUAAUGAUAUGUACAGACAGUCACUAAAAGGAACAAUUGAACAGAGGCAAGAACAGUCACAUGCAGAAAAUAAAUUAUCUACAUGGCAUGGCACCAACUCCAAAAGCAUUUCUCAGGCACGGGGUUUAUUUCCACUUUUGUACAUGUUAUCAAUCACAUUCUGUGCACACACAAAAAUAACAUUGCAGUCAGUACUUUCCAAAUACAUAAAUUAUUAAUUGAAGUCUUGAUGCAUAUUUUGAAACAUUUAAGGCGUGCUAGAAAAUUACAGUUGAAAGUGGAGUGGAAAAAGAAAGAAAUUUAAGCUUACAACUAUUAAUUAAAGACUACGCACCAAUUUAUAUCCCCCGUUCAUUUCUACAGAAAAACCUACAGACUAAAUCUCAUGUCACUCGAAAACAAUUUCUUGUGUACUUCAGCAUUGACAUUAGAUAUCCCAAAUUCCUUAAGAUUCAACUACCACGUCGUGUGUUCAGUUUCGAGUCUGUUUGGUACAUAACUAGUUAACUACUCGUAUACAUGCAAUACAAGAAGAAAAUAAACUUCCUUAUUGAUUUCAUGUAUAGGUGCUGGUUUAUAUAUAUACAAGCCAAGUGCAAGUGAAGUGACUACUUUAACUAAACUGUAACUAAUAUGAUAUUAAAGCUGUAAAACAGGGUAUAUCAGUUGCACUAUGAUUAACAUCUAAUCUAAUAACAUGGGAGACGAUCACAUCUAUAAACCGACUAUUAGCCAACUCAAUCAGAUGAGAUUUCCACACCUUUUUUCGUUUAAAAUUGCUCAUUAGAACGAAACUGUCCGGGAAGAAAAGAAUGUUUAAUUUUCAAAGACGAUUGCACUAAAUACCCAUUCUAUAUUCUAAGAAGCUUAAUUUUUUUUUUUUUGAAUCAGAAAUGGAAUUGUGAGAAUUUGACAACUUUUACCUGAUAAUAUUUAAGCAACUGAGGCCUCUUCUUCUUAUAUGUUGGAGUGAUAAGGUCACGUUCCAUAUCUAAUGGAACUGGGUCAAGAUGAACUGCUUUUAUAAAUUCAAAUCCUUUCAACUGCCAAAAGAAUAUCCAUCAACCGAUAAAAUUUCAGGAAAUGUAUGCGCAUACAAACACGUUAGAAUAGAAUCAAUUGGUGCAAGCAUAAGACCAUACACAAACCACUUAAAUAAUCCUUUGAAAAAAUUAUUUUCGGCCAUCCAACCAUUGAAUAUUAGUUAAUUAUGCUAAUAUUUCAUGUUAAAUAUUAUUUCAAACUUUUUCUUUGACUGGUAUUUCAAACUAAAUGCAUAUAAUUAGAUUAGAUGGUCGAUAUCUUAUAUUAUGGUGAAAAAGUUACUUUUUUAAAAAGUAACUUGUGUGGGACAAUAAUAAGAAGCUUAAAUUAGAAAGAACCUUCUUUUCCUUUCCAAUCUUUGAGAGCUCUUCAAGUAUGUAACUUUUUGCCCUAGAAUCUUCACAGAGAGAAUUGAAGUCCGUGGAUAUACCAUUUUCUUCUGCCCAAUGUUCAAGUGCCUGCUUGCUGGGGGUAACAACAGCAACAAGGAAGGCCUCAAAACUGUUUCCGUAAACCCAUAUCUGAUACAGGAGGAGAAAAAACAGUUCAAAUCAGUACGAGUAAAUAAAAAGAUCACUUUUCACAUAUUUUUUCAACUUUAUAUGGGCAAUUUUCAAUACACGCUAGAAUGCUAAAUCAUUGGAAGGGUUCUCAAGACAUACAGAUUCAAUAGAAGGAACUUGGCUAAAAAUAUUUUCCAGGUUUUCAACGGCAACAUAUUCUCCUUGUGAAAGCUUGAAUAUAUUCUUCUUCCGGUCAAUAAUCUUCAUGCUUCCAUUAGGUUGCCACUCUCCAAUAUCCCCUGUUGAAUAAACUCCAAAAUGUGACCCGAUAGCCAAUUUAAGUAGUAUCUAUAAAAUACAAUUUUGGAAAACUCAAAUGAAAUAACCUGUAUGGAACCAUCCAUCAAUUAGAACCUCUUUUGUGAGGUCUUCACGCUUGUAGUAUCCUGAAAACAAGGUAUCACCCUUUACACAAAUUUCUCCUCUUGGUGUGCUUGCAAGGGCAUCAUAACCCAUUUCAGGAACAGAUUCCAGGCACGCAUCCACAUUGGGUACAGGAGGACCCACCGUUCCCAGCAUGUCUAGUUCAUUAGGUAAUGAGACAAAGGUUCCCGCACAGGUUUCGGUCAGACCUGUUUUCAUUUAAACAAAAAGGCAUAUUAGUAAAGUUCAAAGUCUAGUAUAAAGGGCCGUAAAAGUCAACAGUCAAUAUCUGCAUUAUUACAUAUGCUGCAUUGGAAUGAAAAAACAUCUGAAUAACUUGCACAUAGAAUUCAGUUUCACUAUAUUUCUAUAAACAUACAUUAAAACUAAAAGUAUUAGCUAAUUGCCGCAGUUCAUCUCAAAUUAAUAAAGGACAGUUUAUAUCCAUAAAUGGAGAUAAACUAGACUUAACUAAAACAUAAAUGGAGAUUCAACUAUGUAUCUGAGUGCACAUGGCACGAUGUAAAUUUUGAUUUUCAAUACAGAAAGAGCAUACCAUAUCCUUGUAGGACAUGAGAACAAGUCACCACCCGUAAGUAAUUUUCCACAUGCAUAGAUAGAGGUGCUGCUCCAGACAAAAUAAGACGUACAUGACCCCCUAAACCUUGCUUCACCUAAUCAAAUUGAAAAAUCAACUCAUGAUUAGCCAAAAAGAGAAAAUACAUUUCUGUCAAAAUGGGCAGGUAAUUAAUAUCGUAAAUUUUACUACCUUAUCAAACACAACUUUGUCAAGAAGUGGAGAUGCUGCGUCAUGCUUUUUCCCUUUCUUCAUGUUAUUCAACUUACUGCGAUAAAUUCUCAGAGCUUAUAUUAUUUAGAAUAUUGCAAUGUUUAUUGGGACAGACAAUAGUUAAAUAUGGCAACCUAAUUAAGAAAGUUAACAUUAAUCUAAAAGAGAAAUUGUGCAUGAUUUGACAAAGGAACACUCAUGUUUUCCUAAUAUCUUAUAGAGGAUUUGUGAGGAUUCAUUAGUACUUACUAUGAAAAAGCAAAGUUGAAUAAUGUCUUCUUCAGGAAGCCUCCAGAAGAUAUUUUCUGUGUCAAACCUGCAUACGGGUGUUGAGAGUCAUAAUAUAAUUUUUUUUUCUAGCUUGGAAAAGGGAUGGCAGCUCAUGAAAAUGAGUCCAGAUCCUCUCCAUUUAUAGGGGAAAUNNNNNNNNNNNNNNNNNNNNNNNNNNNNNNNNNNNNNNNNNNNNNNNNNNNNNNNNNNNNNNNNNNNNNNNNNNNNNNNNNNNNNNNNNNNNNNNNNNNNNNNNNNNNNNNNNNNNNNNNNNNNNNNNNNNNNNNNNNNNNNNNNNNNNNNNNNNNNNNNNNNNNNNNNNNNNNNNNNNNNNNNNNNNNNNNNNNNNNNNNNNNNNNNNNNNNNNNNNNNNNNNNNNNNNNNNNNNNNNNNNNNNNNNNNNNNNNNNNNNNNNNNNNNNNNNNNNNNNNNNNNNNNNNNNNNNNNNNNNNNNNNNNNNNNNNNNNNNNNNNNACUCCAUGAAAAUAGGAAAGAAAUGUGGAAAAAAAAAACCACUACAAUUAUCAAAAAAAUAAUUUAAAUGGUAGUUUUAUCCUCCUGAGAACGUAAUUUGACCGUCAACACCAUAGACCAAUCAGAAGAGCAUACCUGUGUACACUCUAUCAAGUACACGGGGUACAGCACAGAAAAUAGUUGGUUUCAGCUCACCAAGGUCUUCAAUUAACAGUUUAACAUCCUGCAGCCAUUGUGCAAAUGAUAAACAAGGUCAUAUUCAAAUCCAAUCAAAUUCCAGGUUUUGACUUGUUGGGGUGAUAAAAUCAAAUCCAAAGUUCAAUUAUCACAUUAAAUAUUAAAUUAUAAUUCAGUAACAACCAGUUUAGUACAUAUACUCACCCCACGCCAGAAGCCUAUCGAGGCACCAUGCCAUAUAAAUGUCUCCUCAAUGACCCUAUCAAAGAUAUGUGCGAGAGGAAGGUAUGAUAAGUACACAUCUUUCACAACCAACUGCAAAGAAGGAAAAAGGAGGGGAGAUUAUGUAAGUCAAAGAAGGACACUUGAGUGUUUAGUAUUUUAAUGCUGGAGGGGAAAAAAUCCAGAGCUUUGAAAUUAUAUAUUUAAUAUACAUGAAUUAAAUGAAAAGAAAUUGCUUAUAGGGAGUGCUUGGUGCAUUCAUGUAGUUACAAGUAAAAUAUAACAAAGAACAGCUUACUUUUUCAUUGACACUCUCCAACAGCCGCUUAACCCCAGCUAAGAGGGUAAUAAUACUCUCAUUGGAUAUCAAUACUCCCUUGGGGUCACCAGUAGUUCCACUAGUAUACAUUAUUGUACAUAUAUCACUUCUUUGCUUUGUAGGUAGAUCAAAACUCUGACUUUCACCCUGUGACAAGUAUUAAAAAUCAAAUUAGAAAUGGCAACCACAAACUAUCCAUAGAAGUAACAAAAGAGACAUUACGUUCUGCUAGCCAAACUUCUAAUGAGAUUUAGAAAAGUAACUUCUAAAAACUUAUAAUGAAUACGUAUCUAUAAAAAAUUGAACCAAGUCAACUAACCAAACAAACGAUGGAUACAUUUGCAAUAUAAUGAUAUCAUCUUUAGUAUUCUUAUUUCAAUUGCGUAAAAUUAUGUUUACUUUUUUGUUUCCACACAUUCCGGCUCCACUAUUACUUAGAGUAACUGCCAGUGGACCGAG